GAUAGCGUGGCCGAGCGGUCUAAGGCGCUGGAUUUAGGCUCCAGUCUCUUCGGAGGCGUGGGUUUGAAUCCCACCGCUGUCA
This 82-nucleotide transfer RNA is filed under the name Merluccius polli (Benguela hake). It matches the Rfam family "tRNA". Rfam says of the family: Transfer RNA (tRNA) molecules are approximately 80 nucleotides in length. Their secondary structure includes four short double-helical elements and three loops (D, anti-codon, and T loops). Further hydrogen bonds mediate the characteristic L-shaped molecular structure. tRNAs have two regions of fundamental functional importance: the anti-codon, which is responsible for specific mRNA codon recognition, and the 3' end, to which the tRNAs corresponding amino acid is attached (by aminoacyl-tRNA synthetases). tRNAs cope with the degeneracy of the genetic code in two manners: having more than one tRNA (with a specific anti-codon) for a particular amino acid; and 'wobble' base-pairing, i.e. permitting non-standard base-pairing at the 3rd anti-codon position. Lineage: Eukaryota; Metazoa; Chordata; Actinopteri; Gadiformes; Merlucciidae. The record is from Rfam by way of RNAcentral.